AUGUGACGCCAUGGGGGUAGGACGCUGGGAACUAUUCUCUGCUAGCAGAGACUUCAAUCAAUACUCCUGAGUCAUCAGAAUACUUCAAAGUAACUGCCAAGCUGAUGCCAUCAAAAUAAAAGGAAACCAAGCAUGUUUGGAAAAAAUGUCAAAAAUCGAAGAGGGAGAAGGGAUUUCAUUGGCAACAGACUUAAUGAGGCAUUAAUGUCAGUUUUGCCAUUUGUAAUGUGUUGUUUCUUUUGAUGACUGAUGUCUGAUGUGAGAACUUGAAUGAGAAAAGCAAAAGAGCGGGACAUCCCUUCUACUCUUUAACCUCAUCAGGAAACAAAAUGCACAGCUGAAAUGGGUUGUUUUAAUCUCCUUCUAAAAGUCAGAUAACCCUCCUGUGAGUCAUCCUAUUUCCUUUUCCAGAUAUUGGAGCAUAUGAACAUGUGUCAGCCAUUGCUUUUUCCCUCCAUUUUUGA
This is a long non-coding RNA of Mesocricetus auratus (golden hamster), 464 nucleotides long. RefSeq lists it as uncharacterized. NCBI's taxonomy places the organism in Eukaryota, Metazoa, Chordata, Mammalia, Rodentia, Cricetidae. The record is from RefSeq and is a predicted model, not a curated record. The transcript is spliced from 4 exons.